This 220-nucleotide unclassified non-coding RNA is filed under the name uncultured Aureobasidium. RNAcentral describes it as "sequence contains ITS1". The record is from RNAcentral. Lineage: Eukaryota; Fungi; Ascomycota; Dothideomycetes; Dothideales; Dothioraceae.
GAGAACCAAGAGAUCCGUUGUUGAAAGUUUUGAUUUAUUCAAAAUUUUAACUCAGACGACCGGUUAAAUAACAAGAGUUUGGUUUAACUCUGGCGGGCGCUCGCCUGGGACGAAUCCCCAGCGGCUCGAGACCGAGCGGUCCCGCCAAAGCAACAAGGUAGUUUUAACAACAAAGGGUUGGAGGUCGGGCGCUGAGCACCCUUACUCUUUAAUGAUCCUU